This 283-nucleotide unclassified non-coding RNA is filed under the name plant metagenome. RNAcentral describes it as "partial contains small subunit ribosomal RNA, internal transcribed spacer 1, and 5.8S ribosomal RNA". The stretch from base 1 to 54 matches the Rfam family "Eukaryotic small subunit ribosomal RNA", at positions 1778 to 1831 of the family's 1831-position model. The record is from RNAcentral.
GGAAGUAAAAGUCGUAACAAGAUUUCCGUAGGUGAACCUGCGGAAGGAUCAUUAUUGUAUAACCGAGGUGCGAGGGCUGUCGCUGACCCGAAAGGUCGUGCACGCCCGAGUGCCCUCACACAUCCAUCUCACCCCUAUGUGCACCACCGCGUGGGUCCCCCUUUGGCUUGUUCGGAGGGGGGCUUACGUUUUCACACAAACUUUGUAUGCAGUGUAGAAUGUAUUUUUUGUUUUUGCGAUCACGCAAUCAAUACAACUUUCAACAACGGAUCUCUUGGCUCUC